RNAcentral lists this microRNA precursor (95 nucleotides) under Daucus carota subsp. sativus. RNAcentral describes it as "sRNA DCAR_mi00026". The record is from RNAcentral. Lineage: Eukaryota; Viridiplantae; Streptophyta; Magnoliopsida; Apiales; Apiaceae.
GGUAUAAACAUAUAUUCGAGGCACUGGGAAUUUAAAGAACUUUUUCUAUAAUAAUAGUAGUAAUUAAAAGUUAAUACUCCGUAUAUAAUAUGAAG